Ipomoea nil (Japanese morning glory) is the source of this 117-nucleotide long non-coding RNA. RefSeq lists it as uncharacterized. Lineage: Eukaryota; Viridiplantae; Streptophyta; Magnoliopsida; Solanales; Convolvulaceae. The transcript is spliced from 3 exons. The record is from RefSeq and is a predicted model, not a curated record.
CCCAAAAAUAAUACUCCCAAACGCUCCAUUCAAAAGACGGUGUCCAGAUUGGGUUUCCAUGGUGGUAUUCACUAUUCAGGGCACUUACAAAACCAUUAUAUUUCGCAGGAAUAUUAU